Molecule: ribosomal RNA, 302 nt
Filed under: uncultured bacterium
Lineage: Bacteria
Description: partial 16S ribosomal RNA
Rfam family: Bacterial small subunit ribosomal RNA
Source: RNAcentral
GCAGCAGCCGCGGGAAUACGGAGGGUGCAAGCGUUAAUCGGAAUUACUGGGCGUAAAGCGCACGCAGGCGGUCUGACAAGUCAGAUGUGAAAUCCCCGGGCUUAACCUGGGAACUGCAUUUGAAACUGUCAGGCUGGAGUCUUGUAGAGGGGGGUGGAAUUCCAGGUGUAGCGGUGAAAUGCGUAGAGAUCUGGAGGAAUACCGGUGGCGAAGGCGGCCCCCUGGACAAAGACUGACGCUCAGGUGCGAAAGCGUGGGGAGCAAACAGGAUUGGAUACCCCAGUAGUCCCUGUCUCUUAUAC